GACGGAAGGGAAUAAAAAAAGAAAGAAAAAAAGAAAAGAAGAAGAACCUAGUCCUUGUGAGAGUAAUUAUCAAUUGGAAGAAACUUGGCGUAUCGCUCGGCCUUCGCUCCUGAUUUGUGUUCAUAAUAUUCAACAACUGCAGCGCCAGCAAGAGCAGCUAAGGUCAAAGCCUGUGCGUGUAACCUAGCGUGGAUGAUCUUCACGCUGGUCUUCAUAUUCGGUUGAGACCAAUUGUACGCAAUAGAACCCGCAAUCCCACUAAGCCACAGAGAUCCGACGGUGCGAAGCUUGUGCUCGGAAACCCAGUCCCUGAGGGAUUCGAGUUUGCCCUUGGAUUCAGCCAUGGAUGACGGGGACAGAAAUCGGCGAAGGAAUAUGAAGAGAAAGAGAGAGAGAAGGAAGAAAGAAAGAAAGAAAG
Molecule: unclassified non-coding RNA, 418 nt
Filed under: Hevea brasiliensis (rubber tree)
Lineage: Eukaryota; Viridiplantae; Streptophyta; Magnoliopsida; Malpighiales; Euphorbiaceae
Source: RNAcentral